UGAUGCUCCAUGAAAGAAGUGGCAGUUUAGCCCUCGACUUCAGCAGCUGCACAAGGACUUUUGUUCCAGGCAGUUGUCCCGCCCUGGAAUGCAGUGCCGCGGAAGCGUGUUGGGCGCAUUCUCAUUUGUCACACAGAGUAUUAAGAAGACAUGUCCUCGAGGGUUGCAUUGAACAAAAUGAUGAAUUUUCCUGCUUUAUCAAGAGGAUUUUAAAGCAAAACUGACACUUUUUGAUUUUUAAAAGAAUUUUAGAACUUGUAUUUUCUUUGUGUAUUAUUUAUUACUGCGAGUGCGUGUGGUAGUAGAGGUGACAAUGACUCCUAGUACAGUUUGGCAAGAACCCCGUGGUUCUUGCCCAUGUCUCUGCAGUUUUGCAGAGGCAAAACUGUAUUUUCCAUACAACACACUGUGGAAAAGACAAUGAAUGUCUUAGUGUUAUUAGGGCAAUCAUUUGUCCUUGGGGGCCCGCAGGGGUCCGUGGACUCACUUGUUGAGAACUGCCAUCUGCCAAGGCUGUGCGUCCAUUUCUGAGUGGUGAUCAAUGCUUUGUGACCAUUUUAUCUCACUUAAAGUGAACGAGCACACUCCACUGUUUCUGAUGUGUCCGACUGAUUUCUGUCCACAUUACUAGGAUUCCCUCUUUCUCUUCUUUUUCUUCUCUUUUAGCAAGGAAAUUUCAACAGUUCCCUUGGCUCAGAUGGGUACAUGCUCUCGGCCCUGACCUGUGGGAUGGCUCCAGUAACUUCUAUUACUGAGGGGCUCCAGCAGGUGGUCACCAUGGGCCUUUUCCGCACUAUUGCUUUGUUUUACCUUGGAAGUUUUGACAGCAUAGUUCGUCGCUGCAUGAUGCAGAGAGAAAAAUCUGAAAAUGCAGACAAAACUGCCUAAUCUUCUUACCCCUUGGAAGAAGACUGUUUCCAAAUAAUUUGAACAGCUUGCUGCUAAAUGGGACCCAAUUUUUGGCCUAUAGACACUUAUAUAUUGUUUUCAAAUAUGUCAGAUUGGACCAGUGCUCUUCAGAAAUGUGGCUGCAAGCAAGGGGCUAGAAGUUCACCUCCUGACAAUAUUAUUAAUACUAUGCAAAUAUGGAAUAGGAGACCAUUUGAUGUUCUAGGCUUUGUGGUAGAGAGGUGAAGGUAUGAGAAUUAAUAGCAUGUGAACAAGGUAAAGAACACGAUUCCAGAAUGAUCAUUAAAUUUUUUUCUAUUUAUUCUUUUUUUGCCCCCCUAGAGAUUAAGUCCAGAAAUGUACUUUCUGGCACAUAAAG
Molecule: small RNA, 1267 nt
Filed under: Pan troglodytes (chimpanzee)
Lineage: Eukaryota; Metazoa; Chordata; Mammalia; Primates; Hominidae
Description: retained intron
Source: RNAcentral